UCUAGCCCUCUACUUCAGUCACAUGCAUUCCAAAUAUAGAUCAAUUACUAAUCAGCAUCAGUAUCUGCAAUGGACUCACUUUCAGCAACCUCUGACCUUUACAUGUUGUAAUAUAAUUUUACCUAAAAAUGGGGGAGGGGUAUAAUCAAUAAAAGGGAUUGUUUUAGAAAUAAGAGGUUCAAAUUAAGAUAUUCUGCCUUGUAGAGGACCUACUUACAGUUUUUUGAACUGUGGUACAAAAAGCUUCAUGUAAUUUCACUAGACCUUUAAACAGUGUAAAACUGUUUGGCUAGUGGUGUGAAUAUCAGAAGAAUUUAUUAUUACAGGCAUAAAGAAAAUAUGGCAGAAAUGUGGUCACUUUCUUUCAGAAUAUAGAAUGUGGUCACUUUCUUUAUACUGACAUUUUGUCACUCAUUGACAUCAGCCCAUGAUUAAAUAAACUCUAGGGCAACAUACAAUUGCCCAUGAGCAAAUACAUUCUUAAAUGAAAACAUGUAGCACUGAAAUUCUUUUUAUAAAAACAUAUUGAACAUAAUGGAAGUUUUCUUGGCCAAAAGCAGCCUCCAAUGGAGCUUUGGUUCUCUAAUUUGGAGGCCUCUAAUAUGACCAGUUUGUGGGAAAUAAUUUCUGCAUUUUGCUCAUCUUGAUAUACAUGUAAAGGUACUUGGAAUAACAGAAAUCUGAAAAAGAUCUUUUUGGUACGUUAGGGAAAAGUUCCUCUUUAUAAAUCUGGGAUUUUGUUAUGUGCUCAGCAGCCCACAAGGAAUGAGUGUGCAAUUCAUGACUACAUCAAUGAGAACAUAGAAACUGGAGCCCCAUUCAUGCAAAGACUUACAUGUGUGCUCAACUUUACACAUUUUGAAUAGCCCCAUUGACUCCACCAGGGCUACUCAGUGUGCACAUUUUAGCAUGUAUGUAAGGGCUUGUCAACACAAGAAAGUUUGUUUUUUUGUUUUUUUUUUUUUAGUACAACUUCAGAUUUUUUUUGGCAUAAACUGACUUGUGUCCCCACAUGGUGGGUUGGUUUUUUUUUUUUUUUAAUUUCUCUCUCUAAUUUGCUUUGGAAGCAACAUAACUAUUUUGGAAUGAGAUAUACUGCUAUAUAGUUUGUGUGGAUGUAUCCCUAUGUUGAAUUAACUAUACUGCUUUAGGUAUUCCUCCUACUGGUAUCCCACACUGCAUUGCUUCACAGGUGGGUGAAGCUUUCUGGUUACCUGUGUGGCUUCUACUGCCCUGGGGCUUCUUGUCUGGAUGUU
This is a long non-coding RNA of Dermochelys coriacea (leatherback sea turtle), 1256 nucleotides long. RefSeq lists it as uncharacterized. The transcript has 3 exons. The record is from RefSeq and is a predicted model, not a curated record. NCBI's taxonomy places the organism in Eukaryota, Metazoa, Chordata, Testudines, Dermochelyidae.